Non-coding RNA from Podarcis lilfordi (Lilford's wall lizard), 861 nucleotides. The record is from the annotation of a GenBank genome assembly. Lineage: Eukaryota; Metazoa; Chordata; Lepidosauria; Squamata; Lacertidae.
GUCCUACUUGGGCCAGCGAGGAGGCCAGGGGAGAAUUAGCUGUGGGGUCUUAGAGCAGGUAAUCUUCAUAAAAAGGGAGGGGGAGGGAAGAGAAGGGAAAUAAAAGAUCAGGCUGAAUUCAAAUUAAAGGCCAGGUGGAAUAGCUCUGUCUUACAGGCCUGACAGAAGGAGAUUAAAUCCUGAAGGGCCCUAGUCUCAUGGGACAGAGCAUUCCACCAGGUUGGAGCCAUCACUGAAAAGACCCUGGCCCUAGUGGAGGAUAGUCUGACUUCGUUAGGGCCCGGGACCUCUAAACUAUGGUUAUUCAUGGACCUUAAGGUCUUCUGCGGGGCAUACCAGGAGAGUAGGAGAAGAACCAUGUAUACCCACCUUGAACAACUUGGCGGUGGGGGGAGGUGGGAUAGAAAUGCAAUAAAUAAAUCAGCAAGCAAGUGGGCUCUGUUCAGACUGGUAGGUUAUAGGGCUGGCGCAGGACUAUUGUAUGUGCUCCCUCCAGUUCUUGAGCACCAGAGGCAAGGUGUGAGAUUUGACCCAUGGAUGUCACAGAUCUCUUAAUUGGACCAAUCAAGGAACAGCAGUUCCCCAGCAUAUAAAGAUGGGAGCGUGUGAUGUCAUUUAAUUGCUGCUUUAUUUGCAAAACUUGUGGUGCUAACACACUUUCCCCCUCCAAAUUUUUUACUCAGCGGGGUGGCUUUCACUCUUAAAGUUAUCACUUUGUGUCACAGAGGGAGGCUUGGAAAUCGAUAGCAUUCAGUACAUGAACAAGCCACGCAGAAGCCCAAGCAUAAAAAGGAAGGCAACAUGUUUCAAACCAACCCCCUCCUUUAAAAAAGAGAAAAGACUGCAAAAUUUAGAUGAGUG